GUAAUUACCUGGCAGGCGAAACACCAUGACCAACCAGGUGGUUUUCCCAGGGCGAGGGUCGCCCCCAGCGUUCCGGGCCUGAUGACCCCUGCGAUUUCCCCAAAUGCGGGAAACUCGGCUGCACAAUUUGUGGUAGUGGGGGGGCUGUGUCCGCGCUCUUCUCCC
This 165-nucleotide small nuclear RNA is filed under the name Crocodylus porosus (Australian saltwater crocodile). RNAcentral's name for it is "U1 spliceosomal RNA (ENSCPRG00005005312.1)". It matches the Rfam family "U1 spliceosomal RNA". From Rfam's summary of the family: U1 is a small nuclear RNA (snRNA) component of the spliceosome (involved in pre-mRNA splicing). Its 5' end forms complementary base pairs with the 5' splice junction, thus defining the 5' donor site of an intron. Lineage: Eukaryota; Metazoa; Chordata; Crocodylia; Crocodylidae. The record is from Rfam by way of RNAcentral.